RNAcentral lists this ribosomal RNA (497 nucleotides) under uncultured bacterium. Its description in RNAcentral is "partial 16S ribosomal RNA". It matches the Rfam family "Bacterial small subunit ribosomal RNA", at positions 28 to 507 of the family's 1533-position model. The record is from RNAcentral.
GACGAACGCUGGCGGCGUGCCUAAUACAUGCAAGUAGAACGCUGAAGCGAGGAGCUUGCUCUUCUUUGGUGAGUUGCGAACGGGUGAGUAACGCGUAGGUAACCUGCCUUGUAGCGGGGGAUAACUAUUGGAAACGAUAUCUAAUACCGCAUAACAAUGGAUUACACAGGGCGUUUAGUUGAAAGGGGCAAUUGUUCCACUACAAGAUGGACCUGCGUUGUAUUAGCUAGUAGGUGAGGUAAUGGCUCACCUAGGCGACGUUACGUAGCCGACAUGAGAGGGUGAGCGGCCACACUGGGAGUGUGACACGGCCCAGACUGCUUGGGGAGGCAGCAGGAGGGAAUCGUCGGCAAUGGGGGCAAACCUGAGCGAGCAGGGCGGCGUGCGUGAAGAAGGGUUUCGGGUGGGAAAGCUCGGUUGUAGGUCAAGAACGGGUGUGAGAGUGGAAAGUUCAGAGUGUGACGGUAGCUGAUCAGAAAGAGACGGCUAACUACGUG